This 1074-nucleotide long non-coding RNA is filed under the name Manihot esculenta (cassava). RNAcentral describes it as "long non-coding RNA (MESC_LNC002728)". The record is from RNAcentral. Lineage: Eukaryota; Viridiplantae; Streptophyta; Magnoliopsida; Malpighiales; Euphorbiaceae.
AUCAAUGUAAAUGCAUGUCAUUUGAAGCUAUUUGAUUUCUUUUUCCAAAGUACAUAUAUCAUAUGCCAAGGUUUACAAUAUGGAAAACUCAUGGCAAAUAGUGCAAAACUCUAUUGACUUAGCAUUUUAAUAUAGAAAACUACAUUCUGCCAUAUAUUGCAUAAACUUUUCAAGCAGUUUAGAGUUACAAUUUGACUUCAGUUUCUUCAUAAGAAAUGUACAUUUAUGUCUUAUCUUUCCAACAAGGUAUGGUUCAUGCAAAUCUGAUCAUCCUAGCUUAAGUUAUGAAUUUUUCUUUACAAGCUGCUCAAUAAGGUCUUAAUCAGUCCAGUAUUGGUACUUGUUUAUAGUAUCACAAAACUUAUCAGAUUCAUGUAUUUCCAUACAAAUUCAAGCUUAAGUGUCUUCUAAAAAGUUUUAGGUAUAUUUCGUAAGAUUCAUUUGGCACUGGUUUGAACAAAUUUCACUGAGUAUGUAAUUAGUUAUGGUAUAAUCAAUAGACUCUGUUCCGGAUGCACUCCCACUGUGUCCAGUUUAGAUUCACUUGCAAUUUUCAUCAUUUUAACUACAGAUUCAGAAUUUUGUCAAUUCAUGAAAGUUUUAGAUAUUUGUCUUAGCUUUCAUUUGAUAUAUCUUAGGCCUAAUUUUAAUAUAUACACAAUAAGUUAUGAAGUUAGUAACACAAGCUAUCCUGUUACAACCUAUUCUGCCAGAUUUACACUUUUAGCUCCCAUGUUAAAUUUCUUUACUCUUAAGCCUUUCAAACAUCAUUUUAACAUUCAUAUAACAUAUUUAUACAAUCAAAGCAACAUUUCCAGCAAGUAAAAUCAACCCCUAAUUUCACUUAUUCAUGGCAGAAUCAAAGGAAAACAGGAAAUCAUUAAAACACCAAACCUUUCUUGAAUUCUUCUUUUCUUUUCCUCUUCUAAUCUCUAGCUAUCUCCUUUCCCUUUGAUGUUCCUUCACCUAUGCCAAUUUAUAUCUUAGGGAAGGAUUGAAUAAAUUGUAAAUUAAAACUUUAUAAUUCAAAUUCAUGCAUGAAGAAAUGAGAUGAUGCUAUUUCCUACUCAUUUC